GGACGCCGAAGGUGGGGCUAAUGACUGGGGUGAAGUCGUAACAAGGUAGCCGUACCGGAAGGUGCGGCUGGAUCACCUCCUAACAGGGAGACAACAAAAUGUUUAAUAUUAUUAUUUUGUCACCUUAGGUCGAUCGGUAUCUCACGUUUUUAAUUUAUUAAGAAUUUCAUUUCCUAAGUUUUUCUAGGUCACACCCAUUAUUUUUCCUGGGCCAUUAGCUCAGGUGGUUAGAGCGCACCCCUGAUAAGGGUGAGGUCCCUGGUUCAAGUCCAGGAUGGCCCAUAUCUCUAUGUUGGGGGUAUAGCUCAGUUGGUAGAGCGCCUGCUUUGCAAGCAGGAUGUCAGCGGUUCGAGUCCGCUUACCUCCACUGAUUACCACCUCUUCCAUAAUUUUGUAGAAAGGAAAUGUUUUGAGUUGUGAUCAAUUUCUGAACGAUUCUAGCUUCCUAAUGAAAUCAUUAAGAUGCUGGACUCAUUGAAUUAAUUUCAUUGUUUUCAGAGAACCUUGACAACUGCAUAGAUUAUUUUUUUGAAGACAAUAAGCAUCUUUUAUGAUGCAGAUUUAUUAUUUGUGCGAAUGCAUUAAUAACAAUUCUAUUAAGCUGAUGCUUCAAUUUUGAAGUUAUUGGUCAAGCUACAAAGGGCUCACGGAGGAUA
RNAcentral lists this unclassified non-coding RNA (656 nucleotides) under uncultured Prochlorococcus sp. Its description in RNAcentral is "partial may contain 16S ribosomal RNA, 16S-23S ribosomal RNA intergenic spacer, and 23S ribosomal RNA". The stretch from base 295 to 367 matches the Rfam family "tRNA". The record is from RNAcentral. Lineage: Bacteria; Bacillati; Cyanobacteriota; Cyanophyceae; Synechococcales; Prochlorococcaceae.